Molecule: non-coding RNA, 25 nt
Filed under: Mus musculus (house mouse)
Lineage: Eukaryota; Metazoa; Chordata; Mammalia; Rodentia; Muridae
Source: RNAcentral
UGUGACUUGUUUGUGUCAGAGAAGG